GGCGGACGGGUGAGUAACGCGUGAGUAACCUGCCUUCAAGAGGGGGAUAACAUUCUGAAAAGAAUGCUAAUACCGCAUGACAUAUCGGAACCACAUGGUUUUGAUACCAAAGAUUUUAUCGCUUGAAGAUGGACUCGCGUCCGAUUAGUUAGUUGGUGAGGUAACGGCUCACCAAGACCGCGAUCGGUAGCCGGACUGAGAGGUUGAACGGCCACAUUGGGACUGAGACACGGCCCAGACUCCUACGGGAGGCAGCAGUGGGGGAUAUUGCGCAAUGGGGGCAACCCUGACGCAGCAACGCCGCGUGAAGGAUGAAGGUUUUCGGAUUGUAAACUUCUUUUAUUAAGGACGAAAAAUGACGGUACUUAAUGAAUAAGCUCCGGCUAACUACGUGCCAGCAGCCGCGGUAAUACGUAGGGAGCAAGCGUUGUCCGGAUUUACUGGGUGUAAAGGGUGCGUAGGCGGCUUUGCAAGUCAGAUGUGAAAUCUAUGGGCUCAACCCAUAAACUGCAUUUGAAACUGUAGAGCUUGAGUGAAGUAGAGGCAGGCGGAAUUCCCCGUGUAGCGGUGAAAUGCGUA
Molecule: ribosomal RNA, 579 nt
Filed under: uncultured bacterium
Lineage: Bacteria
Description: bacterial SSU rRNA
Rfam family: Bacterial small subunit ribosomal RNA
Source: RNAcentral